Molecule: ribosomal RNA, 432 nt
Filed under: uncultured marine bacterium
Lineage: Bacteria
Description: bacterial SSU rRNA
Rfam family: Bacterial small subunit ribosomal RNA
Source: RNAcentral
AACGCGAAGAACCUUACCAGGGCUUAAAUGGGAGAUGACAGGAGCAGAGACGCUCUUUUCUUCGGACAUCUUUCAAGGUGCUGCAUGGUUGUCGUCAGCUCGUGCCGUGAGGUGUCAGGUUAAGUCCUAUAACGAGCGCAACCCCUACCGUUAGUUGCCAGCAUGUAAAGAUGGGGACUCUAACGGGACUGCCGGUGCAAACCGUGAGGAAGGUGGGGGUGACGUCAAAUCAUCACGGCCCUUACGUCCUGGGCUACACACGUGCUACAAUGGCCGGUACAGAGGGAAGCUACCCUGCAAAGGGAUGCGGAUCUAUAAAGCCGGUCACAGUUCGGAUCGGGGUCUGCAACUCGACCCCGUGAAGCUGGAAUCGCUAGUAAUCGGAUAUCAGCCAUGAUCCGGUGAAUACGUUCCCGGGUCUUGUACACACCG